Molecule: ribosomal RNA, 497 nt
Filed under: uncultured bacterium
Lineage: Bacteria
Description: partial 16S ribosomal RNA
Rfam family: Bacterial small subunit ribosomal RNA
Source: RNAcentral
GAUGAACGCUGGCGGCGUGCCUAAUACAUGCAAGUCGAGCGAACAGACGAGGAGCUUGCUCCUUUGACGUUAGCGGCGGACGGGUGAGUAACACGUGGGUAACCUACCUAUAAGACUGGGAUAACUUCGGGAAACCGGAGCUAAUACCGGAUAAUAUUUCGAACCGCAUGGUUCGAUAGUGAAAGAUGGCUUUGCUAUCACUUAUAGAUGGACCUGCGCCGUAUUAGCUAGUUGGUAAGGUAACGGCUUACCAAGGCAACGAUACGUAGCCGACCUGAGAGGGUGAUCGGCCACACUGGAACUGAGACACGGUCCAGACUCCUACGGGAGGCAGCAGUAGGGAAACUUCCGCAAUGGGCGAAAGCCUGACGGAGCAACGCCGCGUGAGUGAUGAAGGUCUUCGGAUCGUAAAACUCUGUUAUUAGGGAAGAACAAACGUGUAAGUAACUGUGCACGUCUUGACGGUACCUAAUCAGAAAGCCACGGCUAACUACGUG